This is a small nucleolar RNA of Rattus norvegicus (Norway rat), 92 nucleotides long. Ensembl annotates it as small nucleolar RNA SNORA17. NCBI's taxonomy places the organism in Eukaryota, Metazoa, Chordata, Mammalia, Rodentia, Muridae. The record is from Ensembl.
CCUGUCCCAGUGAGGCUGCUAUGUCACACGUGCGUCAGUAGGUGGCAGAGAGAAGAGGGGCUGGGCGUCUACACUCGGUGUAGCCUAACAUU